AGCGAACGCUGGCGGCAGGCCUAAUACAUGCAAGUCGAACGCACCUUCGGGUGAGCGGCGGACGGGUGAGUAACGCGUGGAACGUGCCCUUUGGUUCGGAACAACACAGGGAAACUUGUGCUAAUACCGAAUGUGCCCUUCGGGGAAAGAUUAUCGCCAUUGGAGCGGCCCGCGUUGGAUUAGGUAGUUGGUGGGGUAAAAGCCUACCAAGCCUACGAUCCAUAGCUGGUCUGAGAGGANGAUCAGCCACACUGGGACUGAGACACGGCCCAGACUCCUACGGGAGGCAGCAGUAGGGAAUCUUGCGCAAUGGGCGAAAGCCUGACGCAGCCAUGCCGCGUGAAUGAUGAAGGUCUUAGGAUU
RNAcentral lists this ribosomal RNA (363 nucleotides) under uncultured bacterium. RNAcentral's name for it is "bacterial SSU rRNA". It matches the Rfam family "Bacterial small subunit ribosomal RNA", at positions 29 to 424 of the family's 1533-position model. The record is from RNAcentral.